Molecule: ribosomal RNA, 368 nt
Filed under: uncultured organism
Description: bacterial SSU rRNA
Rfam family: Bacterial small subunit ribosomal RNA
Source: RNAcentral
CGAAGGAUGCAAGCGUUAUCCGGACUCAUUGGGUUUAAAGGGAGCGUAGGUGGACUGAUAAGUCAGUGGUGAAAUCUUCGAGCUUAACUCGGAAAUUGCCAUUGAUACUGUUGGUCUUGAGUACAGUUGCUGUGGGCGGAAUAUGACAUGUAGUGGUGAAAUACAUAGAGAUGUCAUAGAACACCGAUUGCGAAGGCAGCUCACAAAGCUGUAACUGACACUGAGGCUCGAAAGUGCGGGGAUCAAACAGGAUUAGAUACCCUGGUAGUCCGCACCGUAAACGAUGAUUACUCGCUGCUAGAUGGCAACAUUUAGUGGCUUAGCGAAAGCGAUAAGUAAUCCACCUGGGGAGUACGCCGGCAACGGUG